ACUGCGGAGGGGCGCGGCGAGACAAAGCUCGUUCCUAAAUGGUCGAUUGCCACGUUCCUGUUAUCGAUGCGUGUCGGCGCAACCUGAGUGGGUCUCACUGU
This 101-nucleotide small RNA is filed under the name Sinorhizobium meliloti 2011. Its description in RNAcentral is "putative ncRNA". Lineage: Bacteria; Pseudomonadati; Pseudomonadota; Alphaproteobacteria; Hyphomicrobiales; Rhizobiaceae. The record is from RNAcentral.